ACUGCUUUUCACAAUUUUUAAAACCCGUAGAGGCCUCUGCGAGUCUGCGAGUCUGCGUUCUUUUUCUCUUUCUACCUCCUCAUCGUUGUUUUUAUCUUCCAUCAUCGUUCCUUGAAGCAAAUUGCGAUUGUAGAUAGACGGUUCUGAAUUGGCUAUUGCGGCUCAAGAUUGGUGAUAUAAAUCCAGUUCUGAAUUGGCGAGAAGAAGCACAUUAGUUUUUUUCUUCCCUCACGAAGCACACUGAUCCAAUCAAAACUUUUAAGCUCAACACAUACGCUCCUAUCAAGGAGGGAGUGUGUGGACUGAUUAUGGUGGUUAGGGUGGUGUGGGUGACGUCUUAAUGUCUGCAGCGAUCUGCAAGCUCGCUAAUAGGUCGGCGGAUAUGGCAGAAGCACUAGCUCUGAAAUUUGGCAUGCAGUAUGCAUUCGAUGCGGGCUUCCGUAGCAUUGAAGUGGAACCAGACGGUCUGUUUGGAAGUCGGUGGAAGUAGCCGCGGUGGUUUUUCCGACGAGGAUGGUGUGGGUUUAGUCAGUUUGAUAUUACCACUACUAAGAAUGCUCCUAUUGAACGCCUCAAACGCUGGAGGUGUAAACAGGCUAAGUCUCAGUAACAUACGUUCAAGUUUGGAUUUGAAAUUGGUGCGGUUGCAGACCUCCAGUAUCACAAAUCAUGACAUACUCUCUUCCUCUUAGGGAAGAUGUUAAGCAGGCACCCCUCUUAAGUGCAGUGGAGGCCACCUACCUAGGCCAUGAGGCGCCUUGAUCAGCCAUUGACCCUGUCAGGAUGGUGCAUAUAGUCAAGAAGUACGAACUACUUUAAAUAUGUGGAGAUUUAUAGGGCACAUAAAUAUUAGACAGGUUUUAAGAAAUAAAGCUAUCACAUAGUGAUUAUUGUGUGAGGGGGUCGAAAAAGCACGAGGCUAAUGCGUGACCUCGUCCCUCGUGGGUGUGACGAUUCUUUUUAUUCAAUCAAGUGUAAUUGGAUUUCCUGUGAGUUUACACCCAAUUGACUAGUAAUAUAGGAGUCGCCAUUCAGUUUUUAACGACAAUUAGAAAAACUGACAAAACCCGGUUAUCGUGACAUAAAGGGA
Molecule: long non-coding RNA, 1090 nt
Organism: Spinacia oleracea (spinach)
Lineage: Eukaryota; Viridiplantae; Streptophyta; Magnoliopsida; Caryophyllales; Amaranthaceae
Exons: 4
Source: RefSeq, a predicted model, not a curated record